This 512-nucleotide ribosomal RNA is filed under the name uncultured bacterium. Its description in RNAcentral is "bacterial SSU rRNA". It matches the Rfam family "Bacterial small subunit ribosomal RNA", at positions 34 to 518 of the family's 1533-position model. The record is from RNAcentral.
CGCUGGCGGCGUGCCUAAUACAUGCAAGUCGAACGGUCUUUUCUAUGGAAGCUUGCUUCCACUGAGAAGAUAGUGGCGAACGGGUGAGUAACACGUGGGUAACCUGCCCAUAAGAGGGGGAUAACAUCCGGAAACGGGUGCUAAUACCGCAUAGUUUUCUUGAUUGCAUGAUCGGGAAAGGAAAGACGGCCUUUGUGCUGUCGCUUAUGGAUGGACCCGCGGCGUAUUAGUUAGUUGGUGAGGUAACGGCUCACCAAGACGAUGAUACGUAGCCGACCUGAGAGGGUGAUCGGCCACAUUGGGACUGAGACACGGCCCAAACUCCUACGGGAGGCAGCAGUAGGGAAUCUUCCGCAAUGGACGAAAGUCUGACGGAGCAACGCCGCGUGAGUGAAGAAGGUUUUCGGAAUCGUAAAACUCUGUUGUCAGAGAAGAACAAGUUGGAGAGUAACUGCUCCAGCCUUGACGGUAUCUGACCAGAAAGCCACGGCUAACUACGUGCCAGCAGCAGC